GACGAACGCUGGCGGCGUGCUUAACACAUGCAAGUCGAACGGAAAGGCCCUGCUUUUGUGGGGUGCUCGAGUGGCGAACGGGUGAGUAACACGUGAGUAACCUGCCUUUGACUUUGGGAUAACUUCAGGAAACUGGGGCUAAUACCGGAUAGGAGCUCCUGCUGCAUGGUGGGGGUUGGAAAGUUUCGGCUGUUGGGGAUGGACUCGCGGCUUAUCAGCUUGUUGGUGGGGUAGUGGCUUACCAAGGCUUUGACGGGUAGCCGGCCUGAGAGGGUGACCGGCCACAAUGGGACUGAGGUACGGACCAGACUCCUACGGGAGGCAGCAGUGGGGAGUAUUGCACAGUGGGCGGAAGCGUGAUGCGGAAACGCCGCGUGCGGGAUGACGGCCUUCGGGUUGUAAACCGCUUUCGCCUGUGACGAAGCGUGAGUGACGGUAAUGGGUGAAGAAGCACCGGCUAACUACGUG
Molecule: ribosomal RNA, 468 nt
Filed under: uncultured bacterium
Lineage: Bacteria
Description: partial 16S ribosomal RNA
Rfam family: Bacterial small subunit ribosomal RNA
Source: RNAcentral